AGCAGCCGCGGUAAUACGGAGGAUUCGAGCGUUAUCCCGGAUUUAUUGGGUUUAAAGGGUGCGUAGGCGGGCUAAUAAGUCAGUGGUGAAAUCACUCAGCUUAACUGAGUAACUGCCAUUGAUACUGUUAGUCUAGAAUAUAAAUGGUGCAGGCGGAAUGAAUCAUGUAGAGGUGACAUUCAUAGAUAUGAUUCAGAACACCGAUCGCGAAGGCAGCUUGCAAAGAUAUUAUUGACGCUGAGGCACGAAAGCGUGGGUAGCGAACAGGAUUAGAUACCCUGGUAGUCCACGCUGUAAACGAUGAUAACUCGUUGUCGGCGAUACACAGUCGGUGACUAAGGGAAACCGAUAAGUUAUCCACCUGGGGAGUACGAUCGCAAGGUUGAAACUCAAAGGAAUUGACGGGGGCCCGCACAAGCGGAGGAGCAUGUGGUUUAAUUCGAUGAUACGCGAGGAACCUUACCUAGACUUGAACGUAUAAGUGAUUAUUUAGAAAUAGAUAAGCUAGCAAUAGACUUUUACGAGGUGCUGCAUGGUUGUCGUCAGCUCGUGCCGUGAGGUGUCAGGUUAAGUCCUAUAACGAGCGCAACCCCUACACUUAGUUGCCAGCAUGUCAUGAUGGGGACUCUAAGUGGACUGCCAGCGCAAGCUGCGAGGAAGGUGGGGAUGACGUCAAAUCAGCACGGCCCUUACGUCUAGGGCGACACACGUGCUACAAUGGUAGGUACAGAGGGCAGCUACACAGCGAUGUGAUGCCAAUCUCAAAAGCCUAUCUCAGUUCGGAUCGGAGUCUGCAACCCGACUCCGUGAAGUUGGAUUCGCUAGUAAUCGCAGAUCAGCCAUGCUGCGGUGAAUACGUUCCCGGGCCUUGUACACACCGCCCGUCAAGCCAUGGAAGCUGGGGGUACCCUGAAGUAGCGUGACCGCAAGGAGC
RNAcentral lists this ribosomal RNA (934 nucleotides) under uncultured bacterium. RNAcentral's name for it is "bacterial SSU rRNA". It matches the Rfam family "Bacterial small subunit ribosomal RNA", at positions 510 to 1449 of the family's 1533-position model. The record is from RNAcentral.